RNAcentral lists this ribosomal RNA (392 nucleotides) under uncultured bacterium. RNAcentral describes it as "bacterial SSU rRNA". It matches the Rfam family "Bacterial small subunit ribosomal RNA", at positions 29 to 420 of the family's 1533-position model. The record is from RNAcentral.
AUUGAACGCUGGCGGCAUGCUUUACACAUGCAAGUCGAACGGCAGCACGGGGGCAACCCUGGUGGCGAGUGGCGAACGGGUGAGUAACACAUCGGAACGUGUCCAGUUGUGGGGGAUAACCCAUCGAAAGGUGGGCUAAUACCGCAUGAGCUGGCAACAGGAAAGCGGGGGACCCGCAAGGGCCUUGUGCGAUUGGAGCGGCCGAUGUCCGAUUAGCUAGUUGGUGGGGUAAAGGCCUACCAAGGCUUCGAUCGGUAGCUGGUCUGAGAGGAUGAUCAGCCACACUGGGACUGAGACACGGCCCAGACUCCUACGGGAGGCAGCAGUGGGGAAUUUUGGACAAUGGGGGCAACCCUGAUCCAGCCAUGCCGCGUGAGUGAAGAAGGCCUCGG